GCUCUGGAGUCAGAGGUCAUGGGUUCAAACUGGAACAAUACAGAGAAGAUCAGCAUGGCCCCUGUGCAAGGAUGACAAGCAAAUUCGUGAAGCGUUCCAUACUUUU
Small nuclear RNA from Tachyglossus aculeatus (Australian echidna), 106 nucleotides. Lineage: Eukaryota; Metazoa; Chordata; Mammalia; Monotremata; Tachyglossidae. The record is from RefSeq and is a predicted model, not a curated record.